This 502-nucleotide ribosomal RNA is filed under the name uncultured Devosia sp. Its description in RNAcentral is "bacterial SSU rRNA". It matches the Rfam family "Bacterial small subunit ribosomal RNA", at positions 96 to 633 of the family's 1533-position model. Lineage: Bacteria; Pseudomonadati; Pseudomonadota; Alphaproteobacteria; Hyphomicrobiales; Devosiaceae. The record is from RNAcentral.
UGGCAGACGGGUGAGUAACGCGUGGGAAUCUACCUAGUUCUGCGGAACAACAGUUGGAAACGACUGCUAAUACCGCAUACGCCCUACGGGGGAAAGAUUUAUCGGAAUUAGAUGAGCCCGCGUAAGAUUAGCUAGUUGGUGGGGUAAUGGCCUACCAAGGCGACGAUCUUUAGCUGGUCUGAGAGGAUGAUCAGCCACACUGGGACUGAGACACGGCCCAGACUCCUACGGGAGGCAGCAGUGGGGAAUAUUGGACAAUGGGCGCAAGCCUGAUCCAGCCAUGCCGCGUGAGUGAUGAAGGCCUUAGGGUUGUAAAGCUCUUUCAGUGGGGAAGAUAAUGACGGUACCCACAGAAGAAGCCCCGGCUAACUUCGUGCCAGCAGCCGCGGUAAUACGAAGGGGGCUAGCGUUGUUCGGAUUUACUGGGCGUAAAGCGCACGUAGGCGGAUUGUUAAGUGAGGGGUGAAAUCCUGGAGCUCAACUCCAGAACUGCCUUUCAUAC